This 339-nucleotide small RNA is filed under the name Histoplasma capsulatum var. duboisii H88. RNAcentral describes it as "Histoplasma capsulatum H88 hypothetical RNA". Lineage: Eukaryota; Fungi; Ascomycota; Eurotiomycetes; Onygenales; Ajellomycetaceae. The record is from RNAcentral.
CGGUGUCGAAAUGUUUCGGCAGUCCACAAGCCGCUGGUUGGUCUCCAUCGAAAAAUGCUUAUGCAGCAGAAUGACCCCAUACCGUUCAUGCAUUCCGGAGUCGAGGAAAAGCUGUCUUAUAGGACCCUGUAAGAGGUCCUUCGCCUGCGUUUCCUUAAAUAGGUUGGCAGCCCCCUGAAGGGAUGGCAGCGAUUCGUAAGCUUCAGGGAUAUAGGGGGCCGUACUACAGUCAACAAAAGCUUAAGUUACCAAAUGCAAAGGAAGGAUGGUUACAUCUUUGACGGGCGUAAACGAGUUUGAUUGGUUGAGGUGCUGUUUUGUAAGGGUUGGAUUUAGGGA